This 380-nucleotide ribosomal RNA is filed under the name uncultured eukaryote. RNAcentral's name for it is "partial 18S ribosomal RNA". It matches the Rfam family "Eukaryotic small subunit ribosomal RNA", at positions 592 to 976 of the family's 1831-position model. The record is from RNAcentral.
CAAUAGCGUAUAUUAAAGUUGUUGCGGUUAAAAAGCUCGUAGUUGGAGUUCUGCCAGGUGCCGCCUGUCCGCCCCAGUGGUGAGUACGUGGCGCGCAUUUGGCCCUUUCAAGGGGAGCGUAUCUGCACUUUAUUGUGUGGUGCGGGAUCCUUGACUUUUACUUUGAGGAAAUAGGAGUGUUCCAAGCAGGCUCUCGUCGUGCACAGCUCAGCAUGGAAUAAUAGCAUUGGACCUCGAUUCUAAGCUGUUGGUUGCCAGAAGCGAGGUAAUGAUGAAGAGGGAUAGUUGGGGGCAUUCGUAUUUAACUGUCAGAGGUGAAAUUCUUGGAUUUGUUAAAGACGGACUACUGCGAGAGCAUCUGCCAUGGAUGUUUUCAUUGA